GCUUGGGCGUGCCUCCACCACGCCGGCGUCGGCGGGCGUAUUUCGCCUCACAGUAGGUCGCCGCGACCCGUUGCUUUUGGGGACGUCGAAGGCCCGGACGGAUUGGUACCCUACCGGCUGGGGAUGCGGCUUCGGCUUCUCCUCUUGUCCGGUGGGCGAAACCGCCGGUGUCCUGGCUGCCCUGCGACGGUCGUAGAGACGAGCCCUCCCCUUCGGGGGGGCGGCUCUCGCGGCGUGCAAAAGGUCGGUGAUCCACCCGACCCGUCUUGAAACACGGACCAAGGAGUCUAACAUGUGUGCGAGUCAGUGGGCGCACUAAACCCAGAGGCGUAAUGAAAGUGACACGGGCUCGGCUGUCGCCUCGUGUGGCAGCCGGACUCAGGGCCGAUCCCUCACCGGUUGUCCUCGCCUCUCUCCCGCGUCUCGGUAAGCCGGGUGAGCUAUUUUCCCCGGCCGCUGCUGCGGGGCUCGGGGGGAGGCGGGGUGCGAUGGUGUCUGUAAAAAAGAGCCUGCUGUUGCAGGGGGGCGCAGGCCCGGGACUUGCCAGGACGCCGCGAGACUGUCACUUUGCUGUGAGGCUCUCGGGCCGAUCAGCGGGUCAUGCGUGCAGUCGGCAAGUACCAU
RNAcentral lists this ribosomal RNA (624 nucleotides) under Fallicambarus gordoni. RNAcentral describes it as "eukaryotic LSU rRNA". The record is from RNAcentral. Lineage: Eukaryota; Metazoa; Arthropoda; Malacostraca; Decapoda; Cambaridae.